Molecule: ribosomal RNA, 732 nt
Filed under: bacterium Ac11
Lineage: Bacteria
Description: bacterial SSU rRNA
Rfam family: Bacterial small subunit ribosomal RNA
Source: RNAcentral
UGCAAGUCGAGCGAACUGAUUAGAAGCUUGCUUCUAUGACGUUGCGGCGGACGGGUGAGUAACACGUGGGCAACCUGCCUGUAAGACUGGGAUAACUCCGGGAAACCGGAGCUAAUACCGGAUAACAUUUUCUCUUGCAUAACACAAAAUUGAAAGAUGGUUUCGGCUAUCACUUACAGAUGGGCCCGCGGUGCAUUAGCUAGUUGGUGAGGUAACGGCUCACCAAGGCAACGAUGCAUAGCCGACCUGAGAGGGUGAUCGGCCACACUGGGACUGAGACACGGCCCAGACUCCUACGGGAGGCAGCAGUGGGGAAUCUUCCGCAAUGGACGAAAGUCUGACGGAGCAACGCCGCGUGAGUGAUGAAGGCUUUCGGGUCGUAAAACUCUCUUGUUAGGGAAGAACAAGUACAAGAGUAACUGCUUGUACCUUGACGGUACCUAACCAGAAAGCCACGGCUAACUACGUGCCAGCAGCCGCGGUAAUACGUAGGUGGCAAGCGUUAUCCGGAAUUAUUGGGCGUAAAGCGCGCGCAGGCGGUUUCUUAAGUCUGAUGUGAAAGCCCACGGCUCAACCGUGGAGGGUCAUUGGAAACUGGGGAACUUGAGUGCAGAAGAGAAAAGCGGAAUUCCACGUGUAGCGGUGAAAUGCGUAGAGAUGUGGAGGAACACCAGUGGCGAAGGCGGCUUUUUGGUCUGUAACUGACGCUAAGGCGCGAAAGCGUGGGGAGCA